GAUUUGGAGUGCUGGAGCGAAGAAGAGCAAAAGCUGCGUUCUGCGCGCGCCCGACUCCGCUGCCCGCCCCGCCAGGCCUCCGGGAGGUGGGGGCUGGGAGGCGUCCCCCGCUCCCGCCCCCUCCCCACCGUUCAAUGAAAGAUGAACUGGCGAGAGAAAGCGUUUGAUUUAUGAGCGUAGGACGAAUCGCAUCCAGGAGCUGCGCAGCCCUGGCCGCUGCCGGGACGCCCUGCUCCGCGCUGAGCUUGGGGCCAGAAACCAGCCAUAGUCCCCACACUCCGCCGCCGCAGCUGAGAUUUAGCGGAGGAAGGGGCGAGGGAAGGUAGGGAGCAAACCUAUGAAGAAACAUCGCGUUGUCAUUGGAACUUCCAAGCCUUUGCUGUUAAGAGCCAGGUUCUUAAAUCAACCCGCCCCACACACAUGUUGCUUACAUGCUGCGUUUUCUCACGGUCUGUUUUGCCUGAACCCAUCAACAGCUGGGAGAUUAAUCAACCACACUGAAAAUGUGGAGGGAUUUAUGGGGGAGGGGGUUGAAAUGUGGGUGUUUGAAACAAAAGUGUAUAAACAAAUGAAUUGUUGAUAACUUAGUUAUUGACCUGGAGACUGGUAGCUUAUUAAAGAAACUCCGUGUUACUCA
This 637-nucleotide long non-coding RNA is filed under the name Homo sapiens (human). RNAcentral describes it as "HOXA transcript antisense RNA, myeloid-specific 1". The stretch from base 527 to 628 matches the Rfam family "HOX antisense intergenic RNA myeloid 1 conserved region 4". Lineage: Eukaryota; Metazoa; Chordata; Mammalia; Primates; Hominidae. The record is from RNAcentral.